This 529-nucleotide ribosomal RNA is filed under the name uncultured Bacillota bacterium. RNAcentral describes it as "bacterial SSU rRNA". It matches the Rfam family "Bacterial small subunit ribosomal RNA", at positions 894 to 1422 of the family's 1533-position model. Lineage: Bacteria; Bacillati; Bacillota. The record is from RNAcentral.
AUGAAACUCAAAGGAAUUGACGGGGACCCGCACAAGCGGUGGAGCAUGUGGUUUAAUUCGAAGCGACGCGAAGAACCUUACCCGGCCUUGACAUCCCCCUGACAGUAUCUGUAAUGGAUAUUACCUUCGGGACAGGGGAGACAGGUGGUGCAUGGUUGUCGUCAGCUCGUGUCGUGAGAUGUUGGGUUAAGUCCCGCAACGAGCGCAACCCUUGCCCCCAGUAGCCAGCAUGUAAAGCUGGGCACUCUGGGGGGACAGCCGGGGAUAACCCGGAGGAAGGCGGGGAUGACGUCAAACCAUCAUGCCCCUUAUGGCCGGGGCUACACACGUGCUACAAUGGCGUAAACAGAGGGAGGCGAGACAGCGAUGUUAAGCGAACCCCAAAAAUAACGUCCCAGUUCGGAUUGCAGCCUGCAACUCGGCUGCAUGAAGCUGGAAUCGCUAGUAAUCGCGGAUCAGAAUGCCGCGGUGAAUACGUUCCCGGGUCUUGUACACACCGCCCGUCACACCAUGGGAGUCGGGAACGCCC